This is a non-coding RNA of Cajanus cajan (pigeon pea), 1754 nucleotides long. NCBI's taxonomy places the organism in Eukaryota, Viridiplantae, Streptophyta, Magnoliopsida, Fabales, Fabaceae. The record is from RefSeq and is a predicted model, not a curated record.
GAGGGCUUUGCGCGCGCGGGGCGGAGGGGUUCGCUCGCCGGCCGGCGGGUCUGGUUGAAAGGAGCCGCGCGCACGGGACGGAGUGGUCUGGUCGCGCGCGGAGGGGUCGGCCGUGAGGAGGGGUCGCGUGCGGAGGGGACAGGCGCCGGCGUCAACAACCCUCCCUCCACAGAGAAACUGUGGGAUGUUAUGCUGUGACUCCAUAGAGAAACCGGUCCAUGUUCUUUUGCAUGAAGGUGAUAGCCAAAUAUAAAGUGCAAGUAUUAUAGUAUUAAACUAGUUUGAAAUGCAAAUUGCAAUGACAGCGCCUUUGAGACCAAGACCAAGUUUCAUAUCAAAAGCCCAACAGAGAAGGAUGUGUAGUAAGCUAGUGAGUCUAGUUGCUACCACCAUAGGAAAGACUAUGUUUUGGGUUUGUAGGAACUUGGUGAUGUAGCGAAGAAGCCCAUAGGCUGAAAGGCUUGGAAUCAUGUAUCUUGCAUAAAGUUGGGCUUGAGCUGCAAUUGUUUUGUCUUGGUGAAAAACUAAAAUGGCUCCUACCCAUCUCCGUUAUUUGGGUCUUUUUAGGACCCAUUCUAGUUGUUCUUCACCGAGACAAAACAAUUGCAGCUCAAGCCCAACUUUAUGCAAGAUACUUGAUCCCAAGCUCCUUUCAGCCUAUGGGCUUCUUCGCUGCAUCACCAAGUUCCUACAAACCCAAAACAUAGUCUUUCCUAUGGUGGUAGCCUCUGGACUCACUACCUUACUACACAUCCUUUUCUGUUGGGCUUUUAAUCUGAAACUUGGCUUGGUUUGAAAGGCGCUGCCAUUGCAAUUUGCAUUUUAAACUGGUUUAAUACUAUAAUACUUGCACUUUAUAUUUGGCUCUCUCCUUCAUGCAAAAACACUUGGACCGGUUUCUCUACGGAGUCACUGCAUAACAUCCCACAAUUUCUUAGACUUGCUUUUCCUUCAACACUCAUGGUGUGCUUAGAAUCAUGGACGUUUGAAAUAAUGGUUCUUCUGUCUGGUGCUUUUCCUAAUGCAAAAUUGGAAACUUCAGUUCUUUCUAUAUGCCUCAACACAUCUGGUAUACUUUGGAUGGUACCAUUUGGAGUUAGUGAUGCUGGAAGUACAAGAAUCUCAAAUGAAUUAGGGGCUGGUAAACCAAAAACUGCAUAUUUAGCAGUUAAAGUCAGCAUGUUCUUGGCCUUCACAGUGGGGAUUUUAGAAUUUGCAGUCCUUAUGUCAGCAUGGUAAGUUUGGGGGCAUGCUUUUACCAAUGUACAUGAAGUGGUCCUAUAUGUGACUUCCAUGGUGCCAAUUCUUGCAAGCUUUGCCUUCAUAGAUUCAAUUCAAACAGCAUUUCAAGGUAUUGCCAGAGGAUGCGGUUGGCAGAAACUUGGUGCAAUUGUCAAUCUAGGAUCUUUUUAUUUUAUAGGCGCUCCUUUUUCUGUUGUGACAGCUUUUGUCCUCCAUAUGAAAGGACGGGGGCUAUUUUUAGGGAUAGUACUGGCAAUUAUCAUUCAAAUGUUGUGUUUUCUUGUGAUCACCCUACGUGCCAAUUGGGAGGAAGAAGCAAAUAAGGCAACAAAAAGGGUAGGAGGCAGUGGAGUCCAACUUCAAGAACUUUCGGUUGACCAAAAUGUUAAUUCUGCUCGAUAGAUAGUUGAAGAACCAUUUCUAGAUUUGUGUAGAACUAGAGUGACUUACCUUGAAAUAAAUGCAUACCAAUGUACUUAUAGCACAUCCAUGAGUAAUUAUUCCUUAGCGUA